CCUACGGGUGGCAGCAGUGGGGGAUAUUGCACAAUGGGGGGAACCCUGAUGCAGCGACGCCGCGUGGGUGAAGAAGCGCCUCGGCGCGGAAAGCCCGGUCAGCAGGGAAGAAAAGGACGGUACCUGAAGAAGAAGCCCCGGCUAACGACGGGCCAGCAGCCGCGGUAAGACGUAGGGGGCAAGCGUUAUCCGGCUUUACUGGGUGGAAAGGGGGCGCAGACGGCGAGGCACGCCAGGAGUGAAAGCCCGGGGCCCAACCCCGGGACGGCUCUUGGAACGGCGUGGCUGGAGUGCAGGAGGGGCCGGCGGAAUUCCUGGUGUAGCGGUGUCAUGCGUAGAUCUCCGGAG
RNAcentral lists this ribosomal RNA (348 nucleotides) under uncultured bacterium. Its description in RNAcentral is "partial 16S ribosomal RNA". It matches the Rfam family "Bacterial small subunit ribosomal RNA", at positions 338 to 703 of the family's 1533-position model. The record is from RNAcentral.